GCCAGCAUGGUGCAAUGGUUUGAGUAUUAGACUAUGACUCUAGAGACCAGGUUUUGAAUCCCUGCUCAGCCA
This is a non-coding RNA of Phrynosoma platyrhinos (Desert horned lizard), 72 nucleotides long. Lineage: Eukaryota; Metazoa; Chordata; Lepidosauria; Squamata; Phrynosomatidae. The record is from the annotation of a GenBank genome assembly.